ACUCCCCCUUAGGUUGACGUGGAACCUCGGGGCGAGGUUCCUUGUUAGUGGUGUCGAUUGUAGCGGCCCAGGAAAAUCCCUUAUUAGAUUUUUCGUGUGCCUUUUCUUUUUGUGCAUAAUCAUGAAAUCAUGCAUCAUAUCAUCCAUGUUUUUAACAAAAUAAAAUUAUUUUCAAAUAAAAAUAUUUUAUUUUAUCCUCUCGUAUGGUUUCUAUAUAAAACCUCCUCUUGUCUUUUCAUUUAACAAAACGCCAAACUCGAUAUUUAAAAUGUUGCAAUUUGUUUUUUGCUCGGUAAUGAAGUUUCAAAAAUGUGCUUGGAUCUUUCCUACUUCGUUUCUUUCCCUCAUCCUGGUCUCUAUAAAUUCUUUUCUGCUAUUUUUGGCUUCCUUUAAAUUCUUUUGUAAUUCCUGAAAGUUUGAAUUCAGUGAGCUCUCCAACCUGGCCUACUCUUUCCCUAUGUCUGGCUCUAGCUUUUCCUUCCUAGAGCCAAAAACGCCCUGGUGGCUCCUGUUACUUCUUCGCUGGCAGGAGACGAGAAAGUCCCUGUUUAUCAUCUUUCUCAGGUGGUCACGCAGCAUGCACCAGCUCUGCUUUUCCCAUUCUCUUAAUCCCAAUCCUGAGAACCCCAGAAAACCCUAGCUGUUUUCCCUUUCCCCUCAGGCCGCCGCCAGCUCUCCCUCCCUUUCUCUUUUCUCUCCAAGAGGACCUAGCACCACCACCAAGCUCGCCGUCGCCCCACCGUUCUGUACAACCCGGCGUCCAACCAACGCCACCAGGAGCUGCGUCACGUUGCCAGGAUCGUCCUCGCGCAAGGAAUCGUCCGGGGGCGCCUCGUACCGACAGCAAAUCGCCGAUUCUUCUUCGACUCCGGCGAGGAAAUCAACGUUUUCCGGCGCCACCGCUUCGUCCCCGUCUCCAUCGAGCGCUCCGCUGUUUUCCUGCUCUCCUUGUGUCCGAGGUCGCCACCAUGUCCAUCAUCUCCGUCCACGGUGACCCUCCAACCCGUGCGUGUUCCUAGCGUCUGCGUCUGCGUCUCCGACUCGUAUGACUACAGCAGCAACCUCCUGCAUUUGCUUCUUCCCGGAUAGGAUCGCGAAGUGGUGCGGUGAGAUACGAC
This is a long non-coding RNA of Lolium rigidum, 1118 nucleotides long. RefSeq lists it as uncharacterized. The record is from RefSeq and is a predicted model, not a curated record. The transcript has 3 exons. Lineage: Eukaryota; Viridiplantae; Streptophyta; Magnoliopsida; Poales; Poaceae.